GGUUAUAAAAUCAUUUUCCUCGCUUUUCCCUCCCCAAACAAACAAAAACAUUUUCCAUCCUCGCUUUCUGGGUUUUGUCCAUUUUCCUUCGCCUUCUGCGUCUCAGUCAGCAGCAGCCGCAGCACCCGUCGGAAAAUGGACGUUCGCCGGAGACCCAUCCCCGCCGGCGAACGCCUCAAAACCCAGAACCAGCAAACUCCCACCUCCGCCCCUGCCCUCACCAACGCUGUAUUUUUCACCCUCUUCUUCUCCGUCAUCUACUUCCUCCUCCACCGCUGGCGCGAGAAGAUUCGGAACUCCACCCCUCUCCACGUCGUCACCGCCUCCGAGACCGCCGCCAUCGUCUCCCUCCUCUCCUCCGCCCUCUACCUCCUCGGCUUCUUCUUCCGCGCCUCCCCCGACGACGACCUCUCCGACGACGAGGUCAUGGCCAAGGAAGAUUCCCGUAACCCUGGACCAUGCCCCGCCGCACUCAUCGACUCCUGCGCAGCGUUGAAGCCAGAGAAAGCAGCGGCAGCGGCGGUGACGGUGACGGUGAAGAAGCCGGUGCCGGUGCCGGUGCCUACCGAACUAUCAAUGGAAGACGAGGAGAUCGUGAAAUCGGUUGUCUCUGGUUCGAUCCCAUCGUACUCGCUGGAAUCGAGGAUCGGAGAUUGCGGCAGGGCGGCGGCGAUUCGGCGCGAGGCGGUGGAGAGGAUAACAGGGAGGUCGUUGGAGGGUUUGCCAUUGGGAGGGUUCGACUACGCGUCGAUAUUGGGGCAGUGCUGCGAGAUGCCGAUAGGGUUUGUGCAGAUUCCGGUGGGUGUGGCGGGUCCGUUGUUGCUGGACGGGAAGGAGUACACAGUGCCGAUUGGGUUGUCUCGUGGCUAGCACCAACAGAGGGUGUAAGGCGAUUCAUGCUUCCGGUGGUGCUUCUGCGUGUUUGCUGAGGGAUGGCAUGACUAGAGCCCCUGUUGUUCGCUUCGCCACUGCGAAGAGAGCUGCACAGUUGAAAUUCUACCUCGAAGAUCCCCUCAAUUUUGAUUCCCUUGCUGUUGUUUUCAAUAGGUCAAGCAGAUUUGCUAGGUUACAGAGCAUUCAACCUGCUAUUGCUGGCAAGAAUUUGUACAUUAGAUUCCGUUGCAGCACUGGCGAUGCCAUGGGGAUGAACAUAGUGUCCAAAGGUGUCCAAAAUGUACUUGAUUUCCUUCAGAGCGACUUCCCUGACAUGGAUGUUAUUGGAAUCUCUGGAAAUUUCUGUUCCGACAAGAAAGCUGCAGCUGUGAACUGGAUUGAAGGGCGUGGCAAGUCUGUUGUCUGCGAGGCUAUAAUUAAGGAAGAGGUGGUGAAGAAGGUAUUAAAGACUAGUGUGGAGGCACUAGUCGAGCUUAACAUGCUUAAGAACCUGACUGGCUCAGCAAUUGCUGGUGCUCUGGGUGGGUUUAAUGCCCAUGCUAGCAACAUUGUCACUGCUGUCUUCCUUGCCACUGGUCAGGAUCCUGCACAGAAUGUGGAGAGUUCUCAAUGCAUCACCAUGAUGGAAGCUGUGAAUGAUGGCAAGGACCUUCACAUUUCCGUCACCAUGCCUUCGAUUGAGGUUGGUACUGUUGGAGGGGGCACACAACUCGCAUCUCAGUCGGCUUGUCUUAAUUUACUUGGUGUCAAGGGUGCCAGUAAAGAAGCUCCAGGUGCAAAUUCUAGGCUAUUGGCCACCAUAGUAGCUGGUUCCGUCCUUGCUGGGGAGCUAUCACUGAUGUCUGCAAUUGCUGCCGGGCAACUCGUUAAGAGCCACAUGAAAUACAACAGAUCUAGCAAGGAUAUCUCCAAAAUUGUCUCAUAGAGCAGUGGUAAAAUUGUGGUGAAUAAACAUGAUGAUUGACAUGAGUAAAUCCAGCUCCCCAAGUGCAUGUGGUAAGAACCAUGUUAAGAAAGCCUGUAAAACUUAUUGAAUAUCUGGUUCAUGCGAGGCAUUGUCUCUUUUUGAGAUUGUACAGAGGGAGUUGAAUGAGGGGACGGAGAAAAACAAGAAGUAGCUACACCUUUGGCGUUAGGUUUAUUCUUUCUUUCUCCCCUUUUUAAAAAGAAAUAAUCAUUUGUAUUGUGUAUUAUUAUCUCGUCUAAAGCUUCUGCCUAGUGCCUUAAAGUGUUAUUUAGGGUGUAGAGUAUUUUAUUGUUGUAAUCUCCAACUUCUUGUUGAUUUGUAUUUUGAGCAAUCUCCAAAUGGGAUGUAGAGUUGUUAGUAA
This is an RNA transcript of Lotus japonicus, 2222 nucleotides long. It is a transcript of the gene named 3-hydroxy-3-methylglutaryl-coenzyme A reductase 1-like, with no coding region annotated. The transcript is spliced from 4 exons. The record is from RefSeq and is a predicted model, not a curated record. Lineage: Eukaryota; Viridiplantae; Streptophyta; Magnoliopsida; Fabales; Fabaceae.